GACGAACGCUGGCGGCGUGCUUAACACAUGCAAGUCGAACGGUAGGGCCCUGCUUUGGUGGUGUGCUCGAGUGGCGAAAGGGGGAGUAACACGGGAGUAAACUGGCCGUGACUUUGGGAUAACUUGAGGAAACAGGGGCUAAUACAGGAUAGGAGCUCCUGCUGCAGGGUGGGGGGUGGAAAGUUUCGGCGGAUGGGGAUGGACUCGCGGGUUAUCGGCUUGUUGGUGGGGUAGUGGCUUACCAAGGCGGUGACGGGUAGCCGGCCUGAGAGGGUGACCGGCCACACUGGGUCUGACGGACGGCCCAGACUCCUACGGGACGCAGCUGUGGGAAAUUCUGCCCGAGCGGCGGAGGCCGGGUGCAGCAGCGCCGCGUGCGGGAUAACUGCCUUCGGGUUGUAGACCGCUUUCGCCAGUAACGAAGCGUGACUGACGGUAAUCGGUCAAGAAGCCCCGGCUAACUACGUG
RNAcentral lists this ribosomal RNA (468 nucleotides) under uncultured bacterium. RNAcentral's name for it is "partial 16S ribosomal RNA". It matches the Rfam family "Bacterial small subunit ribosomal RNA", at positions 28 to 507 of the family's 1533-position model. The record is from RNAcentral.